Carassius gibelio (silver crucian carp) is the source of this 2370-nucleotide long non-coding RNA. RefSeq lists it as uncharacterized. The record is from RefSeq and is a predicted model, not a curated record. The transcript has 4 exons. NCBI's taxonomy places the organism in Eukaryota, Metazoa, Chordata, Actinopteri, Cypriniformes, Cyprinidae.
GUUCAGCUGCUUGUGCAUGAUUGAUAUUCUUCUGCAGAAGAAGUAAAUCAGGUAACAUGCUAGGAAAUGAAUUUAUCUCAAUAGUAUGAAAAAAAAAAAAAUCAGAAGUUUCUGCUUUUGUGAUAAUUACUUUUUUACAUAUGGAAGUGACUGCGAUACGUUUUGGUUGUUUUUUUACAUGCAUGUAUGUUUCAGAGAAAAAAAAAAUAUUUCAAACAUUUUUUUAGCUGCCUCCGACAUAUGGUCUGCUCUAUAUCUGUUUUUGAAGCUGAGCUCAGGAAGCUUCUCCAUACACACACACACACACACACACACACACACAGAGCAGAUUGAGAUGAGCAACCUGAGUUAGUCACUAUGAAAUGAUACACCUGCUUCAGCACACGUUGAUUGUCAAUUGAGAGUUAUAAAGUGGCACUCAAAGUUAAAUUCAUGAAUGAAUCCACUUUUUAAUUUGCAUUAGUUGAAUGAACAGACUGGUUUACUGAUGACUCAAGACAGUUCCUUGUCACCACCUACUGGUGCAAAAAUUUAACUACAUUGACUGACAGCCUGUCUAGCACACAAAGUAUGGAGGUAAAUCAGUAGCAAAACUUGAGAGGUUGUUGAUCUGAAUGUGAGAACUUGUUCUAGUAACAUUCGUAUUUAUAAGUUGAAAUUUAAACUCAGCUCUGAUGUGAAAACCUGAAACACAAAUGUGUAGAAUGACAUACACAUAAAGAGAAUGACAUACACAAAUGUUUACAACAUAUUUACUUUUGCACUUCAGUUUUGCUGCACAACAUCAAGUCGGCACUUACAAACUCUCAGAUCUGGCAGUACAAGUUCUGACUUUUGCUACUUCUUUUGCAGUAUUCCUGUUGCAAAACACACUUGUGCACUUGUUUAUGUAGACAUGAGAGAGCAGAGCCAGGGGCAGGGAUUUGGUGCAAUGAACAAUGCCAGCCAUCACGACUUGCCAAGAAAGAAAUUUGUGGUUUAUGCUUUAUGCAUGUGAGACAGGGGCAGCUGCAGCCUGGAGCAAUGAGCGUGUCAAAAGGUAGGGGCGUGUCAAAAGGUUUCUCAUUGGUGAAAAGAGUUUUACUGUGCUGGCCAAUCAGCAGUUAAUAUACAUUUACGCAAUUUCCUUAGACAAGGUGGCGGCGAUAAGACGUGAGGUAAUUAUUCAUCGUUUAUACGUUUAUCUAUACUUUAUAUACCACAAAUAUGUAUAUUAAGAUAAGUUUGUUACAAUACGAUCAUUAUUUUCCCUUUGCGUUAUAUCUUGCAGCUUUAGUAAUUAGUUUAUUGUUGUUGAAAAACAUAUGUACAGUGAGACAAACGAUGACCGCAUCGACGGCGAAUCCUUCAGAGAUGAUAGUUUAUAUCUGCGUCCUUUUUGUACAAGAGAGUACAGAAUACAUCCUGUGUGCAACUAAUGCAGAGUAUAUUCAAGCUGUCAACACACUGGUUGUGAAGAACCCUUUCCAGAGAAAUAUAGAAAGAAAUGAAUGUACCGCACGCCAAGAACAUUCUCCUGGAGAUGUUGAGAAAGCACGGAAGGAAUGUCUGAGGAGGAUGUACUCAAAAAAUACACCUGCUGGAGGGGACCCGGCUACACCUUUCCUACCAUACACCUGAUGGAUACUGACUGUAAAAUGGCAAUCAUAGUGCGAGGGCUCAGUGUGGGGACAGAAGAUGGAACAGAUGUGUGUCAGUGCACCAGCCUUGAUAAAGCCUUCAUAACAGCCUUGUGGAUGUAUUCUGCUUUCAACAUUGCAUAUACACCACACCUGAGAAAGACACUGACUUUCCUUCAGAGGGACAUUGUCAACAUUAGAAGAUGGAGACAAGCACUGUCAGUAAUUUUACUCUGAAUGAUUAGCCUCUGGUAUUACAUCCUCAUGCCUUGACUGUACCAUUGCCCAAAGUGCACUCGAAGGACAUUCACUCUUUGGAAGUUAAUCCAACAUGUUGGAGUGGUACAUGCACUGUUAAGCUAACUGAGACUUGUUAUAGCUCAUAUAUAAUUGCUCUUUUUGUUGUAUUUGAUUGCUUCAACUCUGUCCUCGAUUGUAAGUCGAUUUGAAUAAAAGCGUCUGCUAAAUGAAUAAAUGUAAAUGUAAAUAUUAGUAUAAGCUGUUGUAUAGAUGAAUGCCAGUCAACUUUUUUCUGAUUCCAUUCUUUUAGAAACCAUGCACAGGAAGCAUAUGUACUUUUGUUACUCAGUGAAGAGUCAGUAGUACAGUUGUAUAAUAAUAUAAUGGAGAAGGGUCUGGCUGCAGACGUGGACUCUCAGACACUUGCACUUCUGUUAGUGACAACACAUGCAGUCUUUUUUAUUUUAUAUUUUAUUCUACUUAUAUCUUUUUACUUGAAUUGGUGACUGAA